This is a long non-coding RNA of Megalobrama amblycephala (Wuchang bream), 460 nucleotides long. RefSeq lists it as uncharacterized. The record is from RefSeq and is a predicted model, not a curated record. NCBI's taxonomy places the organism in Eukaryota, Metazoa, Chordata, Actinopteri, Cypriniformes, Xenocyprididae. The transcript has 2 exons.
CCAGCAUGGGACAAAUGGAAAUGGAGGGACUGUUCUAACACAAAAGAGUAAGCUCUGUUAUCUUAUAGUUGUUGGUUCAGUAAUGAUUCAAGGUAGAAAAAAGCUUCAGCCACAAACACAAAAAUGUCAGCAACUGUCAGCUCAGGAAACACAGCUCAAUGCUCACCUCUAUUUGCCCUCUCAGAAAGCAGCUCAGGGGCUCCAUUAACAUAGGUGCAAGGGUUGGGAAGAUCACAAUGCCGUAUCUCUCAACCCACCUUUACUCUUUGACAGCUUCCAACACUGAGCGAUCAUGGAUUAGUGUUGUUCUCUGAAAGCUUGGAUAUUUCUAUCUGCUCGCUGACAUCAGAUGGUUUCUCACCUUGGCUUGGAUCAGUUUACCAGUGAGGGAAAAAAAAACAAAAACUGGUUGAUGGCACAAGUAAAAUAAACAUUACGCCAAUGUGGCCUCUCUGAAGAG